RNAcentral lists this unclassified non-coding RNA (245 nucleotides) under uncultured fungus. Its description in RNAcentral is "sequence contains ITS2". Lineage: Eukaryota; Fungi. The record is from RNAcentral.
AACGCACAUUGCGCCCCUUGGUAUUCCGGGGGGCAUGCCUGUUCGAGCGUCAUUUCAACCCUCAAGCUUUGCUUGGUCUUGGGCACUGCCGGUAACGGCUUGCCCUAAAAUCAGUGGCGGUGCCCUCUGAGCUCUACGCGUAGUAAUAAAACCCUCGCGACUGAGUCUUGGUAGAUGCUUGCCAGCAACCCCCUAAUUCUUAUAUGGUUGACCUCGGAUCAGGUAGGGAUACCCGCUGAACUUAA